AUUGAACGCUGGCGGCAUGCUUUACACAUGCAAGUCGAACGGCAGCGCGGGCUUCGGCCUGGCGGCGAGUGGCGAACGGGUGAGUAAUACAUCGGAACGUGCCCAGUAGUGGGGGAUAGCUCGGCGAAAGCCGGAUUAAUACCGCAUACGACCUGAGGGUGAAAGCGGGGGAUCUUCGGACCUCGCGCUAUUGGAGCGGCCGAUGGCAGAUUAGCUAGUUGGUGGGGUAAAGGCCUACCAAGGCGACGAUCUGUAGCUGGUCUGAGAGGACGACCAGCCACACUGGAACUGAGACACGGCCCAGACUCCUACGGGAGGCAGCAGUGGGGAAUUUUGGACAAUGGGCGAAAGCCUGAUCCAGCAAUGCCGCGUGUGUGAGGAAGGCCUUCGGGUUGUAAAGCACUUUUGGCGGGAACGAAAAGGACUGUGCCAAUACCACGGUUCGAUGACGGUACCCGCAGAAUAAGCACCGGCUAACUACGUG
This 484-nucleotide ribosomal RNA is filed under the name uncultured bacterium. RNAcentral describes it as "partial 16S ribosomal RNA". It matches the Rfam family "Bacterial small subunit ribosomal RNA", at positions 29 to 507 of the family's 1533-position model. The record is from RNAcentral.